UGCCUUAUGUGUUCUUCUAGAUGGAGAGCAAGGUGAACCCUCAGCAUCCAAGGACAGCGACACCAGCACCACUGAAGCUCAGGGCGAGGACUCGCAAGAACCCGAAUUAACUCAAACAGACAGCAAUCAGUCCAAAGACGAUGCCACAGAGCAGAAGAAGGAGCCGAGGAAGGAAUUGGAAGACAAUCAGCCUCAGAUGGAUGGCCGGCAAACUGUGUGAAGGCACACACACACACACACACACACACACACACACACACACACACACACACACACACACACACACACACACACACACACACACACACACACACACACACACACACACACACACUCACACCACACCAACUGUGUAUCACACUGAUUAAGGCCCAGGACCAUGCUUCUAAAUCACUAGUUUCCUAUUCUAUUCAACCCUUGUUGCUCUCUAUCAUGAUGAAAUGAAAUGAAAUAACUAUGAGAUAUACCUAUAUGUAACGUAUUUCCUGAACAACUGUAUAAAUGAACAUAUCAGAGAUAUUGAGGUGCGGGUGGGCGGGGUUUACUGGUCAUACCUCACUGAGAUGCUGCUUGAAUACUCCCAUAAUCCAUUGGGGCAUCCUAGUGCUGGAAUUCUAUGGUUUCAUAGUCUGCCACAGGAGAGCUUGAGAGGAAGACUAUAUCCAUGCCACUUUUCCUCCACACACUUGACAAGCCCACAUACUAAGAGGCCAACACAAGUGAAUAGAGCAAGAUUAGUAAUUGUUUAAAUAUAACUGACAAAUGUUAGGCUUAUACGUCAUGAAUUGUGCUCAUUAAGUAACACUACAGUUGAUGCUGACAAGGCCUAGUAAGGCUGAUACCAGUUUUAGUUCUACCUUUGUUUCCUAAGUGUGAGUGGACUUUGAAACCAAGUGAGUGGGCUUUUAGACCAAGUUAUUUACCAAGUGAUGAAAAGAUGGAAAAGGUACACAUCAGACAGCACUAACUGUUUAUCAUUUCUCUUCAAGUGUUUUUCAUCUGACUUCUGAUGCUCCGCCAUCGCAGCUUAAGUUCCACUCAGCUCAGCUCUGGCCCUGAUAGGGGCCGCACGUGUGUGAUGUAGUCUGCUUUGAAACACC
Long non-coding RNA from Clupea harengus (Atlantic herring), 1100 nucleotides. RefSeq lists it as uncharacterized. The record is from RefSeq and is a predicted model, not a curated record. Lineage: Eukaryota; Metazoa; Chordata; Actinopteri; Clupeiformes; Clupeidae. The transcript has 3 exons.